AAGAAGCUACAUGGUUUCCCAAUCUUGCAUGUGGCUUAAAGUGGUCAAUGUUUACUUCAAACCAAGUGUUGUUAAUAAAGACCGUAAUAAGAAAUUUUUUUCGGCAGGGAUAGCUUAACAAGAAAGGUGACUUAAAACCAGAAAUUUAAAACAGUAUAUAAAAUUAAUAUGUGACAAUUCUAUGAUCAAAACCUAUACAGCUUAAGAAACAUCCUCAAUUCACUAAUAUUACCAAAGUGAUAGAUUAAAACUGUCAUUCCAAUCAUCAUAACAACAAUUAACCAACUAUAAUUGAGAUUGCUCUCUUCAAUUUGGAUUUCCUACUACAAACAAGCUAGAAAUAAACCUAGUAAGUACCACGUAGUUGGAGAUAUACUAGACAUACCCAUCAUACUAUGUUUUUCAUGAGACUCAUUUCUAGCAAACAGUAUGUAAUGUUUUUAGUUGUUUUGUAUCAAGCUGUUUUAGCAUGAACUGUUAGGGACAGUAUAAACCAUAUCAAUUUAAAUCCACCAAACAAAUUAAACAGACAAAAGACUCCACAUGUUCAUAUAUUCCAAAGUCUCUAUUUCAAUAGUCAACCACAUGAAGUAAUUCGUAUAUUCAGUCAUUGCUAACAUGCAUCCAAUACCUUGUCUUUACAUACAACCAAACUGGAAAGUGCAAUAUUUGAUGCAGUCAUUGCUAACAUGCAUCCAAUACCUUGUCUUUACAUACAACCAAACUGGAAAGUGUUAAUUACUGAGGCAAAAUGACCGGAUGGGGUUUGGCAUCUCUUGAUGAAACAACACAAUUCAUAUGAAGGUAGAUGUAGUAAAUUUAUUGUAUUGCAACCACAUAAUGUCCAAAGAUAUACCAGGUCAUCACCUACCACCUAAAUGCAUGCAUAUCCAUGUUAUUCUUUGUAUCGUCCUUGUCUUAUAAGAAGUUCAGUAAAUUAUGAUAAAAGGAAGUACUAUGUUUUCUCUCGCCAAAAACUACUUCACUGAUUAAGCUUAUGUCACAAUAGUAUGCACUGCAAUUCCAGCUCAUCAAAUCUGUUAGGAGGUGGUUAUAACUAACUAAAACAGAGCAUGUGUGUAUUGUAUCUUGAGAGGAUGUAAAUUACAAUAUAUAGGAGAUGUAUUACUCUAUUUUGUACAUUCUUGAAUAAUAAAAAUACAAAGUAUUGAUUCAUGACUUUCUUCAAAAUGAUUAUGUUGCAGUACUUCUAGACACAGGAGACUUAGUCUUGAAAAAGGGUAUCUCCUGGGAGAUCUUGUGGGAGAGCUUUAACCAUCCUUGCAACACUUUCCUACCCGGCAAUGAACACUAGAACUGGAGAAAAACAGUUAUUGUCUUCUUGGCAAAUGGAAGAUGACCCAGGAAAGUUUGUUGUUGGAAUUGCACCACUCCUGCAAGCUUUUGUUUGUAAAGUUCCAAUUCCAUUUUGGAGAAGUGGGAGAAGUGGGCCAUGGGAUGGAUUGAAGUUUAUCGGUGUACCUGAUAUGAAAUCAACGUAAUUGGAAAGUGGUUUUGGUGUUGCAAUGGAUCACAGGAAAUCAGUAAAGGGAAGAAGCAAAGAGCAGGAUUCAUUAUGUCGGCUUCACAGUUGCUUCUGGAAAGAGGGAAAAGAAACUCAAGAGCUUUGGUUUGGCUGAUACAUUAAAGACUUCAGAGACACCCCACUGAACCAAGUAGAGCAAUAUGGUACAUCAGAGCUACCAGUGUUUGACUUCGACGAAUAGUAGCUGCUACCAAUAGCUUCAGCAUAAAAAGUAAACUUGGGGAAGGAGGAUUUGGACCAGUAUUUAAGGUAAUUCAUUUUUUUCUCUAAUAUUUUAUGUGCACAUAUGACAUGGACUUGUGUAUGUAUUGGUUGAUUGUGAAAUUUUAUGGAUGAUGCGGAGGGAAAUCUACAAGAUGGACAGGAGAUAACAGUGCAAAGACUUUCUAGAUGCUCACGACAAGGCAUCAAAGAUUUCAAGAAUGAGAGCAUACUGAUGAUAUCAAUGCUCCAGCACUAGAAUCUUGCUAGUCUCUUGGGGUGCUGUAUUGAAGGAGAAGAAUAACAAAAGUUUUGAUACUUUUCUCUUCGGUUGGUUCAGUUUCUGCUUUUCAAUACAUGCCUUCUAAUUCUUACCCAUCUUGUUCAUUAAAAGAUCAAUACUCUUCAUUUCUCUUUAUGAAGCAAUAUGUAUCACCAGACGAAGAUCACUGUUGAUUUUUUUUUAUUUAUAUUUUUUUCUCCUCUAA
This is a non-coding RNA of Camellia sinensis, 2235 nucleotides long. The record is from RefSeq and is a predicted model, not a curated record. Lineage: Eukaryota; Viridiplantae; Streptophyta; Magnoliopsida; Ericales; Theaceae.